Molecule: unclassified non-coding RNA, 387 nt
Filed under: soil metagenome
Description: partial contains 5.8S ribosomal RNA, internal transcribed spacer 2, and large subunit ribosomal RNA
Rfam family: 5.8S ribosomal RNA (bases 1-120)
Source: RNAcentral
GACGAAGAACGUAGCGAAAUGCGAUAAGUAAUGCGAAUUGCAGAAUUCAGUGAAUCAUCGAAUCUUUGAACGCACAUUGCGCCCAUUAGUAUUCUAGUGGGCAUGCCUGUUCGAGCGUCAUUAAUUCCACUUAAGCCCUGCUUAGUGUUGGGAAUCUACUCUAGUGGUGCUACCCUGGAGCUACCCCUGAAAGGGGGCUGGCCCGGUAGCUACCCUGUAGUUCCUCAAAGAUAGUGCGCGGAGUUGCGUGGUCCUCUGAGCUUAGUAACUAUACACCUAGCUUUUGAGUGUCCCGCGGCGCCUGCCGUUUAAACCCCAUCUUUUAAUGGUUGACCUCGGAUCAGGUAGGAAUACCCGCUGAACUUAAGCAUAUCAAUAAGCGGAGGA